UACGGAGGGGGCUAGCGUUGUUCGGAAUUACUGGGCGUAAAGCGCACGUAGGCGGCUUUGUAAGUUAGAGGUGAAAGCCUGGGGCUCAACUCCAGAAUUGCCUUUAAGACUGCAUCGCUUGAACGUCGGAGAGGUGAGUGGAAUUCCGAGUGUAGAGGUGAAAUUCGUAGAUAUUCGGAAGAACACCAGUGGCGAAGGCGGCUCACUGGACGACUGUUGACGCUGAGGUGCGAAAGCGUGGGGAGCAAACCGG
Molecule: ribosomal RNA, 253 nt
Filed under: uncultured bacterium
Lineage: Bacteria
Description: partial 16S ribosomal RNA
Rfam family: Bacterial small subunit ribosomal RNA
Source: RNAcentral